Molecule: ribosomal RNA, 1759 nt
Filed under: Escherichia coli
Lineage: Bacteria; Pseudomonadati; Pseudomonadota; Gammaproteobacteria; Enterobacterales; Enterobacteriaceae
Description: bacterial LSU rRNA
Rfam family: Bacterial large subunit ribosomal RNA
Source: RNAcentral
CUGUGAGCUCGAUGAGUAGGGCGGGACACGUGGUAUCCUGUCUGAAUAUGGGGGGACCAUCCUCCAAGGCUAAAUACUCCUGACUGACCGAUAGUGAACCAGUACCGUGAGGGAAAGGCGAAAAGAACCCCGGCGAGGGGAGUGAAAAAGAACCUGAAACCGUGUACGUACAAGCAGUGGGAGCACGCUUAGGCGUGUGACUGCGUACCUUUUGUAUAAUGGGUCAGCGACUUAUAUUCUGUAGCAAGGUUAACCGAAUAGGGGAGCCGAAGGGAAACCGAGUCUUAACUGGGCGUUAAGUUGCAGGGUAUAGACCCGAAACCCGGUGAUCUAGCCAUGGGCAGGUUGAAGGUUGGGUAACACUAACUGGAGGACCGAACCGACUAAUGUUGAAAAAUUAGCGGAUGACUUGUGGCUGGGGGUGAAAGGCCAAUCAAACCGGGAGAUAGCUGGUUCUCCCCGAAAGCUAUUUAGGUAGCGCCUCGUGAAUUCAUCUCCGGGGGUAGAGCACUGUUUCGGCAAGGGGGUCAUCCCGACUUACCAACCCGAUGCAAACUGCGAAUACCGGAGAAUGUUAUCACGGGAGACACACGGCGGGUGCUAACGUCCGUCGUGAAGAGGGAAACAACCCAGACCGCCAGCUAAGGUCCCAAAGUCAUGGUUAAGUGGGAAACGAUGUGGGAAGGCCCAGACAGCCAGGAUGUUGGCUUAGAAGCAGCCAUCAUUUAAAGAAAGCGUAAUAGCUCACUGGUCGAGUCGGCCUGCGCGGAAGAUGUAACGGGGCUAAACCAUGCACCGAAGCUGCGGCAGCGACGCUUAUGCGUUGUUGGGUAGGGGAGCGUUCUGUAAGCCUGCGAAGGUGUGCUGUGAGGCAUGCUGGAGGUAUCAGAAGUGCGAAUGCUGACAUAAGUAACGAUAAAGCGGGUGAAAAGCCCGCUCGCCGGAAGACCAAGGGUUCCUGUCCAACGUUAAUCGGGGCAGGGUGAGUCGACCCCUAAGGCGAGGCCGAAAGGCGUAGUCGAUGGGAAACAGGUUAAUAUUCCUGUACUUGGUGUUACUGCGAAGGGGGGACGGAGAAGGCUAUGUUGGCCGGGCGACGGUUGUCCCGGUUUAAGCGUGUAGGCUGGUUUUCCAGGCAAAUCCGGAAAAUCAAGGCUGAGGCGUGAUGACGAGGCACUACGGUGCUGAAGCAACAAAUGCCCUGCUUCCAGGAAAAGCCUCUAAGCAUCAGGUAACAUCAAAUCGUACCCCAAACCGACACAGGUGGUCAGGUAGAGAAUACCAAGGCGCUUGAGAGAACUCGGGUGAAGGAACUAGGCAAAAUGGUGCCGUAACUUCGGGAGAAGGCACGCUGAUAUGUAGGUGAAGUCCCUCGCGGAUGGAGCUGAAAUCAGUCGAAGAUACCAGCUGGCUGCAACUGUUUAUUAAAAACACAGCACUGUGCAAACACGAAAGUGGACGUAUACGGUGUGACGCCUGCCCGGUGCCGGAAGGUUAAUUGAUGGGGUCAGCGCAAGCGAAGCUCUUGAUCGAAGCCCCGGUAAACGGCGGCCGUAACUAUAACGGUCCUAAGGUAGCGAAAUUCCUUGUCGGGUAAGUUCCGACCUGCACGAAUGGCGUAAUGAUGGCCAGGCUGUCUCCACCCGAGACUCAGUGAAAUUGAACUCGCUGUGAAGAUGCAGUGUACCCGCGGCAAGACGGAAAGACCCCGUGAACCUUUACUAUAGCUUGACACUGAACAUUGAGCCUUGAUGUGUAG